CUACGGGAUGCAGCAGUGGGGAAUUUUGGACAAUGGGCGCAAGCCUGAUCCAGCAAUGCCGCGUGCAGGAUGAAGGCCUUCGGGUUGUAAACUGCUUUUGUACGGAACGAAACGGCGAGCUCUAAUAAAGCUUGCUAAUGACGGUACCGUAAGAAUAAGCACCGGCUAACUACGUGCCAGCAGCCGCGGUAAUACGUAGGGUGCGAGCGUUAAUCGGAAUUACUGGGCGUAAAGCGUGCGCAGGCGGUUAUAUAAGACAGAUGUGAAAUCCCCGGGCUCAACCUGGGACCUGCAUUUGUGACUGUAUAGCUAGAGUACGGUAGAGGGGGAUGGAAUUCCGCGUGUAGCAGUGAAAUGCGUAGAUAUGCGGAGGAACACCGAUGGCGAAGGCAAUCCCCUGGACCUGUACUGACGCUCAUGCACGAAAGCGUGGGGAGCAAACAGGAUUAGAUACCCGUGUAGUC
Molecule: ribosomal RNA, 464 nt
Filed under: uncultured bacterium
Lineage: Bacteria
Description: partial 16S ribosomal RNA
Rfam family: Bacterial small subunit ribosomal RNA
Source: RNAcentral